CGCGCAGGCGGCUUCUUAAGUCCAUCUUAAAAGUGCGGGGCUUAACCCCGUGAUGGGAUGGAAACUGAGAGGCUGGAGUAUCGGAGAGGAAAGUGGAAUUCCUAGUGUAGCGGUGAAAUGCGUAGAGAUUAGGAAGAACACCGGUGGCGAAGGCGACUUCUGACGACAACUGACGCUGAGGCGCGGAAGCGUGGGGAGGCAAAACA
Molecule: ribosomal RNA, 206 nt
Filed under: uncultured bacterium
Lineage: Bacteria
Description: partial 16S ribosomal RNA
Rfam family: Bacterial small subunit ribosomal RNA
Source: RNAcentral